AGUUGUAUCCUGGCUCAGGAUGAACGCUNGCGGUAUGCCUAACACAUGCAAGUCGUACGAGGGUUUCAUACCCAAGUGGCGGACGGGUGAGUAACACGUGAGAAUUUGCCCUAAGGAGGGGGAUAACAACUGGAAACGGUUGCUAAAACCCCAUAUGCUUCCGAGUGAAAUAGAUUUAUCUGCCUUAGGAGAAGCUCGCGGCUGAUUAGCUAGUUGGUAAGGUAAUGGCUUACCAAGGCGACGAUCAGUAUCUGGUUUGAGAGGACGAUCAGACACACUGGAACUGAGACACGGUCCAGACUCCUACGGGAGGCAGCAGUGGGGAAUUUUCCGCAAUGGGCGAAAGCCUGACGGAGCAAUACCGCGUGAAGGAAGACNGCCUAUGGGUUGUAAACUUCUUUUUUCAGGGAGGAACUCANUGAC
RNAcentral lists this ribosomal RNA (423 nucleotides) under uncultured bacterium. RNAcentral describes it as "bacterial SSU rRNA". It matches the Rfam family "Bacterial small subunit ribosomal RNA", at positions 10 to 458 of the family's 1533-position model. The record is from RNAcentral.